AGAAGCAUCAUAGUCUGAGACCCCGAAACUAGACGAGCUACUCCGAAGCAGUCUAAAAGGACUAACCCGUCUCUGUGGCAAAAGAGUGGGAAGACUUCCGAGUAGAGGUGAAAAGCCUACCGAGCCUAGUUAUAGCUGGUUGCUUAAGAAAAGAAUAUGAGUUCAGCCUUAUAAGUUUCUCAAAAAUCAAAAUGAAAGAAUAAAGUAACACAUAAGAGUUAGUCGAAGGGGGUACAGCUCCUUCGAAAAAGAACACAACCUUACCCAGGUAAAUAAGGAUUAUACUAAAAAAGGACAUGACUUUCAACAGUGGGCCCGAAAGCAGCCACCUCUAAUAGAAAGCGUUAAAGCUCAAGAACAGCCACACCAAAAAUAAAAAUAACCACUCCUAAUUUCCUAAUAAUAUUAAGCUACCCUAUUUUAUAGGAGAAAUUAUGCUAAAAUGAGUAAUAAGAGAAACUAGACCCUCUCCGGGCACACGUGUAAAUUAGAGCGGACAAACCACUGACAACUAACGGACCCAAAAAAGAGGGUAAAACAACAAAACUCAAUAAACAAGAAAAACCUAUUAAAACAACCGUUAACCCAACACAGGAGUGCCACUUAAGGAAAGACUAAAAGGGGAAGAAGGAACUCGGCAAACACAAACCUCGCCUGUUUACCAAAAACACCGCCUCCUGCAAAUAGAAUGUAUUGGAGGUCCUGCCUGCCCAGUGACAAUAGGUUCAACGGCCGCGGUAUUUUGACCGUGCAAAGGUAGCGUAAUCACCUGUCUUUUAAAUAAAGACCUGUAUGAAUGGCAAGACGAGGGUUUUACUGUCUCCUCCCCCCAGUCAAUGAAAUUGAUCUACCCGUGCAGAAGCGGGUAUAAAAACAUAAGACGAGAAGACCCUAUGGAGCUUUAGGCACACAUCAAAUAUGUAAAAAACCAAAUCUUCCAAAUAGGCCUAAAAAAUGAGAAAAACAAGUAUUAAUGAUUAAUUGCCUUCGGUUGGGGCGACCACGGGGAAAAAUAAAACCCCCACAUGGAAUGGGUAAAAUUAUCCUAAGCCAAGAAAAACAAUUCUAAGCAACAAAAUUUUUGACCAAUAAACGACCCAGGGACAACAUCCCUGAGCAAUGAACCAAGUUACCCUAGGGAUAACAGCGCAAUCCUUUCCCAGAGCCCAUAUCAACGAAAGGGUUUACGACCUCGAUGUUGGAUCAGGGCAUCCUAACGGUGCAGCCGCUGUUAAGGGUUC
This 1241-nucleotide ribosomal RNA is filed under the name Conger myriaster (whitespotted conger). RNAcentral's name for it is "partial 16S ribosomal RNA". It matches the Rfam family "Bacterial large subunit ribosomal RNA", at positions 693 to 2574 of the family's 2925-position model. Lineage: Eukaryota; Metazoa; Chordata; Actinopteri; Anguilliformes; Congridae. The record is from RNAcentral.